This 687-nucleotide ribosomal RNA is filed under the name Bacillus licheniformis. RNAcentral's name for it is "bacterial SSU rRNA". It matches the Rfam family "Bacterial small subunit ribosomal RNA", at positions 72 to 705 of the family's 1533-position model. The record is from RNAcentral. Lineage: Bacteria; Bacillati; Bacillota; Bacilli; Caryophanales; Bacillaceae.
AUCNAAUACUGGACAAAGUCGNAGACGGGACCGACGGGAGCUUGCUCCCUUAGGUCAGCGGCGGACGGGUGAGUAACACGUGGGUAACCUGCCUGUAAGACUGGGAUAACUCCGGGAAACCGGGGCUAAUACCGGAUGCUUGAUUGAACCGCAUGGUUCAAUCAUAAAAGGUGGCUUUUAGCUACCACUUACAGAUGGACCCGCGGCGCAUUAGCUAGUUGGUGAGGUAACGGCUCACCAAGGCGACGAUGCGUAGCCGACCUGAGAGGGUGAUCGGCCACACUGGGACUGAGACACGGCCCAGACUCCUACGGGAGGCAGCAGUAGGGAAUCUUCCGCAAUGGACGAAAGUCUGACGGAGCAACGCCGCGUGAGUGAUGAAGGUUUUCGGAUCGUAAAACUCUGUUGUUAGGGAAGAACAAGUACCGUUCGAAUAGGGCGGCACCUUGACGGUACCUAACCAGAAAGCCACGGCUAACUACAUGCCAGCAGCCGCGGUAAUACGUAGGUGGCCAGCGUUGUCCGGAAUUAUUGGGCGUAAAGCGCGCGCAGGCGGUUUCUUAAGUCUGAUGUGAANGCCCCCGGCUCAACCGGGGAGGGUNUUUGGAAACUGGGGUACUUGAGUGCAGAAGAAUGAGAGUGUAAUUCCCACGUGUACCGUGUGAAGUGGCUAAAGAUGNNUGAGGA